Non-coding RNA from Rattus norvegicus (Norway rat), 2091 nucleotides. NCBI's taxonomy places the organism in Eukaryota, Metazoa, Chordata, Mammalia, Rodentia, Muridae. The record is from RefSeq and is a predicted model, not a curated record.
GCCCAGUGUAAAGACCUAGAGGGAUGCCUCACAGAGACCACAAGGCCCUAACCCACUGCCAACAGGAGAAGAUAGGGCCCCAAACCCAACCACUGACUCAACUGAUACCUGACAAGCAGGCCAGCAUCCUCUCCCGUCCCUCCUUCCAAAAUGUCCACCUACCCUUGCCCUGGGAACCAAACCGACCUAUAAGAGAGAAGGACCUGCUCAGGGGCUGCAGACACUCAUGUCUCCUUAACUAUUGUGAUAAAUCUGCUCAACCAUAUGGCCUACUUCUCUCUUUUGCCCAGAGCAACUGCUGGGACCUUUGCCUCCGCUCCUAAAGGAGCCUUGCCUGCCCUCAGAAGCCUCACAGAGGACCUGAGUGACACUGCCUCAGAGCAGUCUGAGAAGAAUUUUGGGCAGCACCAGCUUUGGAGGAAACGAUCUCAGUUCUGGGAGGGGUUGCUGAGGAAGCCUACCCUCACUGUACCUUUCAAGAGCUGCCUUGUGUCCCACACAGAUGGAUCCAGUCUACUCACUGCUCACUAACCUACUCAUGGAUUCAUCCGUCCACUCGAGGAUGCAUUCGUCCAUCAAAAGAGCAUUCAGCCAUCCCUUCUCACUACCGUGUGCCAGGGGCUGACAAGCUCCCGUGAGCAGUGCAGCAUCUCCAGACCUAGAAGGAAUAUGAUUUUGCUCCUGAAAGGUGAGACAAGGUUGGGAUACCAGAGAAAAGGCUAAGGCUGAGCCAUGGAGGCUAUGAGAGGUGUGAGGAGUAUUUGUGAGGAAGCUCUAUCAGGUUACGUCUCCAAAUCCCUUCUCGAUAAAAUGUGUUCUGCUAGAGAAAUGACUGUACGUGUGUGUUCCUCCCUCAGACCAUGCUAAGGCUGUUACCCACCCCAGAGCAGCAGCUACUGUGCAUCCCCUUCAGCUGCACAGACCAGAACGACUCCUCGGGCCACAGCCCCGCCGCAUCAGCAGCCCCGAGAGUAAUGAAGCCCUGAGCCUAAAAAUCGCUUUCUCUCUUCAUUCCCGAUAGAGAGAAUCUUCAAGACGCUCUCAUUUUACAAAUAAGGAAUGCUAAGUGAAGCCUCUUCAGGUGAAAUCACUGUUCUAGCUCACACAGCCUGGAAGAGACAGAGCUGUGUCUGGAGCCCAUGCACACUGCCUGUAAGACGCCAGCCUCACUGCAGCAUCAUUAAAUAUAGGUUGGCGGCUGUGAUACACAAUAAAACACGUGAGAUGCUACUUAGAGGUCAGAUAAGCAAAAAUCAUUGCCAUGUAAAAGCCAGCUCGGGAUAAGAUUCCUUUCAUAUUUUUAAUGUUUAUUUAAGGGCUUCAAACCAGAAUACACUCAUACGGGGUGGGAGAGAGAGAGAGAGACAGAGACAGAGACAGAGACAGACAUAGAGACAGACCGACUGACAGACAGAUAGGUGGACAGGUUUACAGACAGACAGAUGGACAGAUGGACAGACAUAUGGAUGGACAGACGAGUCCAAAAAAGGCAAUGCAAAACCCUUGGGAGUGCCAUAUAGAUAAAACUAUGUUUUGCAGGGACAGCACCUUUCCCAUGGAGCUCAGUACUUUCUAGUCAGUCGGGUCAGCAGUCUGUGGAAUAGUCCUGUACACGCUCAGUGUACGUCUUCUCUCCUACCUCUGUGGAAACGUCCUCACACAUAGGCAAGGUGAGUAAAUCACAGCUAAGGUGACAAUGGACAUCAACCGUCACCACUUCCCAUGUAAGGGCCCCACUUACAGGCCCCACCUCUCAGGAGUGCCACUCUCGGAAUCAUGUGGACAUUUGGAGGACACGUGGGAUCCAAAGUAUCUACAGUCAGGACCAUGCCUAUUGCCAAUGCUGGAUUCCGGGGCUCACCACGCCUACCGGUUGUCUCUCUCUUCUUUUUCUUUCUUUUUUGUUAGCUAUCCACAUUCCACACACAAGAGCAUUCCUUUUUCUGCAUGUUCGCCUCCUGCCCUGGCUAAUUUUAUGUCUACUUAACACAGCCUAAGGUCAUCUGAAAGGUGAACCCAAAUUCAGAAAAUGCCUUCAUAAGAUUAGGCUAUAGACAAGCCUGUAGCACUUUCUAAUUAGUGAUUGACAUG